UAAGACCUUGCGCUUUUGGAGCGGCCGAUGUCUGAUUAGCUAGUUGGUGGGGUAAUGGCCUACCAAAGCUUCGAUCAGUAGCUGGUCUGAGAGGACGGCCAGCCACACUGGGACUGAGACACGGCCCAGACUCCUACGGGAGGCAGCAGUGGGGAAUUUUGGACAAUGGGCGCAAGCCUGAUCCAGCCAUGCCGCGUGGGUGAAGAAGGCCUUCGGGUUGUAAAGCUCUUUCAGCCGGGAAGAAAAGGCUGCGACUAAUAAUCGCAGUUCAUGACGGUACCGGAAGAAGAAGCACCGGCUAACUACGUGCCAGCAGCCGCGGUAAUACGUAGGGUGCGAGCGUUAAUCGGAAUUACUGGGCGUAAAGGGUGCGCAGGCGGUUUUGUAAGUCAGAUGUGAAAUCCCCGGGCUUAACCUGGGAACU
This 424-nucleotide ribosomal RNA is filed under the name uncultured bacterium. Its description in RNAcentral is "bacterial SSU rRNA". It matches the Rfam family "Bacterial small subunit ribosomal RNA", at positions 202 to 622 of the family's 1533-position model. The record is from RNAcentral.